AGAAGCCAUUUUUCACUUUCAUAUGAGAUUAUAACCAAAGGUGUUUAUGAACAAGACACCCAAAGUUUUGGAAAACCUUUCUGCAGUGAGACAUAACCCCCCGCCCACCUGCCACAGCACUUCCUGCUUAGAAGGAGAAUCCUCACCAGACACAGAGGAGGAGCCCAGUCUGAGCAGAAGCUUUGCACCCUGCAGGGAGAGCUGUCAGCAUGACACUUGUCAGCCUGCUGUGGGCAGUGGCCAUCUCCACCUGUCUGGGAUCCAGCAUGGCCCAGACUGUCACUCAGACACAGCCAGAAAUGUCUGUGCAGGAGGCAGAGACAGCGACCCUGGACUGCACGUACGACACUAGGGACAGCGAUUAUUAUUUGUUUUGGUACAAACAGCCUCCCAGCGGUGAGCUGGUUCUCAUUAUUCGCCAAGAAGCUUACAAGCCACAGAAUGCAACACAGAAUCGCUUCUCUGUGAACUUCCAGAAAGUAUCCAAGUCCUUCAGUCUCAAGAUCUCAGACUCGCAGCUGGGGGACGCUGGGAUGUAUCUCUGUGCGCUCAGGGAGCUCACAGUGAGACAGGUGACAGAGAGAGUCCUACAGAAACCUCAGACUUUGCCCCCGCAGCAGUGAGUAGUGGAAUGGAGAGAGUGGCAACAGAAUCAUGGACUUCUCUUGAAAUAAAAGCUCCUCUUCUGACUAGAGUUUCUACACAGACAGAUGGAUGUCUGCAGCCUUAAACCCUUAAUGUAAUAGUGAUAAAAAAGGGCAGGCCCAGGACUUUCCACUUUAACAAAGUACCUUCACAGGCAGGACUGU
Oryctolagus cuniculus (rabbit) is the source of this 809-nucleotide non-coding RNA. Lineage: Eukaryota; Metazoa; Chordata; Mammalia; Lagomorpha; Leporidae. The record is from the annotation of a RefSeq genome assembly.